This is a non-coding RNA of Pelobates cultripes (western spadefoot toad), 311 nucleotides long. The record is from the annotation of a GenBank genome assembly. Lineage: Eukaryota; Metazoa; Chordata; Amphibia; Anura; Pelobatidae.
CGCAAGCAUUCCAGUCUGUAUGGGGUUCAGCUUCUUAUUACUAAAUGUCUGUAAUCCAUGCCUUGGCUGGUGGGAGUAUCCUGGCAGAAAAAGGCUGCAAACACUGUUUGGGCCGAAAAGGGUUAAACUUGGCUGCAGAUUGAGACAGGAUGCAGUGAGCGAUGUCUGACUGCUGCAGGGGGGUAUAAAGGGCUGAACACAUGACGAAGUGCUACAACAGGCACUCCAGAACUUUGACUGUUACCGUGGUAACCACUGACGUCACACCCACUAGCAAUUAGCUUCCAGAUCUCUAUUUGUGAUGAUAGCAG